This is a long non-coding RNA of Danaus plexippus (monarch butterfly), 570 nucleotides long. RefSeq lists it as uncharacterized. Lineage: Eukaryota; Metazoa; Arthropoda; Insecta; Lepidoptera; Nymphalidae. The transcript has 4 exons. The record is from RefSeq and is a predicted model, not a curated record.
UGCUCGUAAAUCGAGUGUCUUAAUUUACGCCCGGCCAUUGGCAAGGUUUAGGCUUAUUGAUAGGCCGUUGUCGCCUUGAGAUAUAGCUCGGCAAUUUGUAGCUGAAUUACGGAUAAUCAAUUAGUAGUUUAGAAGAAAAAUGGUACUUCCACGUGGAAAUUUGGGGUGUUGUUCCGGAAGCCGCCGGAGACUGCCGUAAUCCGGUGCAAUCCAGUUCGCAAACUUUGUUCCCCCGUGUUUGCUUUGCGGUUCACGCGUUUCCACUCAUCGUUUAAUGUGACAACCUUUGAGCGGUGCACCGAUCCAAAACACCUAACACAUCACGCUGCAUUAACCAUGGAGUCUUUACGAUUACAUUUGGGACAUUUGCGAUUCUACAGCCGCAGUGACAUUCCGCUAAAAGGGUAGCUGAGAAAGACACUAACUAUCAAGUGUUGAUGUCUCAAAGUGUUUGGAGGCGGAUUUCAGGUAACUUGGUGUUAAAGCAAGAUGAAAAUCUGUUUACAAAGACAAACUACUCCUAUUUAAUACGCUAUCAUUAUUACUCCGGGUGUUAUUUUUAAUUUCUAA